This 867-nucleotide ribosomal RNA is filed under the name Mycobacterium tuberculosis variant bovis. RNAcentral's name for it is "bacterial SSU rRNA". It matches the Rfam family "Bacterial small subunit ribosomal RNA", at positions 1 to 871 of the family's 1533-position model. Lineage: Bacteria; Bacillati; Actinomycetota; Actinomycetes; Mycobacteriales; Mycobacteriaceae. The record is from RNAcentral.
UUUAGAUUUUUGUACUGCUCAGGGACGAACGCUGGCGGCGUGCUUAACACAUGCAAGUCGAACGGAAAGGUCUCUUCGGAGAUACUCGAGUGGCGAACGGGUGAGUAACACGUGGGUGAUCUGCCCUGCACUUCGGGAUAAGCCUGGGAAACUGGGUCUAAUACCGGAUAGGACCACGGGAUGCAUGUCUUGUGGUGGAAAGCGCUUUAGCGGUGUGGGAUGAGCCCGCGGCCUAUCAGCUUGUUGGUGGGGUGACGGCCUACCAAGGCGACGACGGGUAGCCGGCCUGAGAGGGUGUCCGGCCACACUGGGACUGAGAUACGGCCCAGACUCCUACGGGAGGCAGCAGUGGGGAAUAUUGCACAAUGGGCGCAAGCCUGAUGCAGCGACGCCGCGUGGGGGAUGACGGCCUUCGGGUUGUAAACCUCUUUCACCAUCGACGAAGGUCCGGGUUCUCUCGGAUUGACGGUAGGUGGAGAAGAAGCACCGGCCAACUACGUGCCAGCAGCCGCGGUAAUACGUAGGGUGCGAGCGUUGUCCGGAAUUACUGGGCGUAAAGAGCUCGUAGGUGGUUUGUCGCGUUGUUCGUGAAAUCUCACGGCUUAACUGUGAGCGUGCGGGCGAUACGGGCAGACUAGAGUACUGCAGGGGAGACUGGAAUUCCUGGUGUAGCGGUGGAAUGCGCAGAUAUCAGGAGGAACACCGGUGGCGAAGGCGGGUCUCUGGGCAGUAACUGACGCUGAGGAGCGAAAGCGUGGGGAGCGAACAGGAUUAGAUACCCUGGUAGUCCACGCCGUAAACGGUGGGUACUAGGUGUGGGUUUCCUUCCUUGGGAUCCGUGCCGUAGCUAACGCAUUAAGUACCCCU